RNAcentral lists this unclassified non-coding RNA (261 nucleotides) under Fellomyces sp. RNAcentral's name for it is "partial contains 5.8S ribosomal RNA, internal transcribed spacer 2, and large subunit ribosomal RNA". Lineage: Eukaryota; Fungi; Basidiomycota; Tremellomycetes; Tremellales; Cuniculitremaceae. The record is from RNAcentral.
CGCACCUUGCGCCUCUUGGUAUUCCGAGAGGCAUGCCUGUUUGAGUGUCAUGAAACAUCAAUCCCCAAGGGUUUCUUGACCCAUGGCGGACUUGGAUCUGGGCGCCUGCCUCUCAAGGCUCGCCUCAAAUGACUCUGUGGGAUCUUCUUGACCUAUGCCUGACGUGAUAAGUUUCGUCUCGGCCGGUCCUGAGGCCCGCUCAUAACACCCCAUAUCUUUGCCAUUGACCUCAAAUCAGGUAGGGCUACCCGCUGAACUUAA